UAGGGAAUAUUGGACAAUGGGGGCAACCCUGAUCCAGCAAUGCCGCGUGAGUGAUGAAGGCCUUAGGGUUGUAAAGCUCUUUUACCCGGGAUGAUAAUGACAGUACCGGGAGAAUAAGCUCCGGCUAACUCCGUG
This 135-nucleotide ribosomal RNA is filed under the name uncultured bacterium. RNAcentral describes it as "partial 16S rRNA". It matches the Rfam family "Bacterial small subunit ribosomal RNA", at positions 355 to 507 of the family's 1533-position model. The record is from RNAcentral.